UAAAGAGAUUGAGGAAAAAGAAGCU
RNAcentral lists this non-coding RNA (25 nucleotides) under Cricetulus griseus (Chinese hamster). Lineage: Eukaryota; Metazoa; Chordata; Mammalia; Rodentia; Cricetidae. The record is from RNAcentral. RNAcentral also lists the same sequence under 1 other name.